This 228-nucleotide ribosomal RNA is filed under the name uncultured bacterium. Its description in RNAcentral is "partial 16S ribosomal RNA". It matches the Rfam family "Bacterial small subunit ribosomal RNA", at positions 110 to 339 of the family's 1533-position model. The record is from RNAcentral.
GUAACACGUGAGAAAUCUGCCCCGAACUUCGGAAUAACAGUUGGAAACGGCUGCUAAUACCGGAUGCCGUUACGAAGUGGCAUCACUAUGUAACGAAAGAAUUUCGGUUCGGGAGAAUCUCGCGGCCUAUCAGCUUGUUGGUGAGGUAACGGCUCACCAAGGCUACGACGGGUAGCUGGUCUGAGAGGAUGAUCAGCCACACUGGGACUGAGACACAGCCCAGACUCC